RNAcentral lists this ribosomal RNA (491 nucleotides) under uncultured bacterium. Its description in RNAcentral is "partial 16S ribosomal RNA". It matches the Rfam family "Bacterial small subunit ribosomal RNA", at positions 29 to 506 of the family's 1533-position model. The record is from RNAcentral.
AGUGAACGCUGGCGGUAGGCCUAACACAUGCAAGUCGAACGGCAGCACAGUAAGAGCUUGCUCUUACGGGUGGCGAGUGGCGGACGGGUGAGGAAUACAUCGGAAUCUACUUUUUCGUGGGGGAUAACGUAGGGAAACUUACGCUAAUACCGCAUACGACCUACGGGUGAAAGCAGGGGAUCUUCGGCCCUUGCGCGAUUGAAUGAGCCGAUGUCGGAUUAGCUAGUUGGCGGGGUAAAGGCCCACCAAGGCGACGAUCCGUAGCUGGUCUGAGAGGAUGAUCAGCCACACUGGAACUGAGACACGGUCCAGACUCCUACGGGAGGCAGCAGUGGGGAAUAUUGGACAAUGGGCGCAAGCCUGAUCCAGCCAUACCGCGUGGGUGAAGAAGGCCUUCGGGUUGUAAAGCCCUUUUGUUGGGAAAGAAAAGCAGCAGGUUAAUACCCCGCUGUUCGGACGGGACCCAAAGAAUAAGCACCGGCUAACUUCGU